CCUACGGGAGGCUGCAGUGAGGAAUAUUGGACAAUGGGCGCAAGCCUGAACCAGCUAAGCAGCGUGCAGGAUGACGGCCCUACGGGUUGUAACCUGCUUUUAUACGGGAAUAACGCGCCUUACGUGUAGGGCUUUGCACGUACCGUAUGAUUAAGGACCGGCGAAUUCCGUGCCAUCAGCCGCGGUACUACGGAAGGUCCGGGCGUUAUCCGGAUUUAUUGGGUUUAAAGGGAGCGUAGGCCGCAUGUCAAGCGUGCUGUGAAAUGUCCGGGCUCAACCCGGGCCUUGCAGCGCGAACUGGUGGGCUUGAGGGCGGGGAAAGCAGGCGGAAUUCGUCGUGUAGCGGUGAAAUGCGUAGAUAUGACGAAGAACCCCGAUUGCGAAGGCAGCUUGCUGCAGCGGAACUGACGCUGAUGCUCGAAAGCGCGGGUAUCGAACAGGAUUAGAUACCCUAGUAGUC
This 460-nucleotide ribosomal RNA is filed under the name uncultured bacterium. Its description in RNAcentral is "partial 16S ribosomal RNA". It matches the Rfam family "Bacterial small subunit ribosomal RNA", at positions 338 to 795 of the family's 1533-position model. The record is from RNAcentral.